This is a non-coding RNA of Struthio camelus australis, 268 nucleotides long. Lineage: Eukaryota; Metazoa; Chordata; Aves; Struthioniformes; Struthionidae. The record is from RefSeq and is a predicted model, not a curated record.
GAAGGCUUUGAAAGGGAUCCAAAGAAGCAAUCACAUGCAUGUGCAACUAUUUUUUCACCAGGCAAGAAUAUAUGGAAUGUGAAUGAAGCUUCAGCAUAGCUCUGCAAGUCUAUCUAGAGGGGAUCAUGGGAGGAUUCAUAUGAGGUUUACUUCUCCUUGCAGAAGAAGAAAAGAAAAAGGCCCUUACAGGUGGGAACAAAUGUAAAUGUACACUGAAAAGUAAAGGUGGAAAUGUGGAGCCAAGCACAUUUGCUGGAGAAUGGAGAAC